This 293-nucleotide ribosomal RNA is filed under the name uncultured Acidobacteriota bacterium. RNAcentral describes it as "uncultured Acidobacteria bacterium partial 16S ribosomal RNA". The record is from RNAcentral. Lineage: Bacteria; Pseudomonadati; Acidobacteriota.
GGACUACUGGGGUAUCUAAUCCCGUUUGCUCCCCUGGCUUUCGCGCACUCAGCGUCAGUGUCGGCCCAGCAACCCGUCUUCACCUCAGGUGUUCCUCUCGAUAUCUACGCAUUUCACCGCUACACCGAGAAUUCCGAUUGCCCCUUCCGCACUCUAGCACGACAGUUUCACUUGGCCAUUCUGGGUUAAGCCCAGAGAUUUCACAAGUGACUUGUCACGCCGCCUACGCGCCCUUUACGCCCAGUAAAUCCGAACAACGCUUGGUCCCUACGUAUUACCGCGGCGGCUGGCAC